RNAcentral lists this ribosomal RNA (276 nucleotides) under Enterobacter cloacae. Its description in RNAcentral is "partial 23S ribosomal RNA". It matches the Rfam family "Bacterial large subunit ribosomal RNA", at positions 1 to 269 of the family's 2925-position model. Lineage: Bacteria; Pseudomonadati; Pseudomonadota; Gammaproteobacteria; Enterobacterales; Enterobacteriaceae. The record is from RNAcentral.
GGGUUGUGAGGUUAAGCGACUAAGCGUACACGGUGGAUGCCCUGGCAGUCAGAGGCGAUGAAGGACGUGCUAAUCUGCGAAAAGCGCCGGUGAGGUGAUAUGAACCCUUGACCCGGCGAUGUCCGAAUGGGGAAACCCAGUGUGAUUCGUCACACUAUCGUUAACUGAAUACAUAGGUUAACGAGGCGAACCGGGGGAACUGAAACAUCUAAGUACCCCGAGGAAAAGAAAUCAACCGAGAUUCCCCCAGUAGCGGCGAGCGAACGGGGAGCAGCC